GGAUUGCCUUAGUAACGGCGAGUGAAGCGGCAAAAGCUCAAAUUUGAAAUCUGGUACCUUCGGUGCCCGAGUUGUAAUUUGGAGAGGGCAACUUUGGGGCCGUUCCUUGUCUAUGUUCCUUGGAACAGGACGUCAUAGAGGGUGAGAAUCCCGUGUGGCGAGGAGUGCGGUUCUUUGUAAAGUGCCUUCGAAGAGUCGAGUUGUUUGGGAAUGCAGCUCUAAGUGGGUGGUAAAUUCCAUCUAAAGCUAAAUAUUGGCGAGAGACCGAUAGCGAACAAGUACAGUGAUGGAAAGAUGAAAAGAACUUUGAAAAGAGAGUGAAAAAGUACGUGAAAUUGUUGAAAGGGAAGGGCAUUUGAUCAGACAUGGUGUUUUGUGCCCUCUGCUCCUUGUGGGUAGGGGAAUCUCGCAUUUCACUGGGCCAGCAUCAGUUUUGGUGGCAGGAUAAAUCCAUAGGAAUGUAGCUUGCCUCGGUAAGUAUUAUAGCCUGUGGGAAUACUGCCAGCUGGGACUGAGGACUGCGACGUAAGUCAAGGAUGCUGGCAUAAUGGUUAUAUGC
This 559-nucleotide ribosomal RNA is filed under the name Saccharomyces cerevisiae (brewer's yeast). RNAcentral describes it as "partial large subunit ribosomal RNA". It matches the Rfam family "Eukaryotic large subunit ribosomal RNA", at positions 72 to 645 of the family's 3401-position model. The record is from RNAcentral. Lineage: Eukaryota; Fungi; Ascomycota; Saccharomycetes; Saccharomycetales; Saccharomycetaceae.